CAGCCGCCGCGGUAAUACGGAGGGUGCAAGCGUUAAUCGGAAUUACUGGGCGUAAAGCGCACGCAGGCGGUUUGUUAAGUCAGAUGUGAAAUCCCCGAGCUUAACUUGGGAACUGCAUUUGAAACUGGCAAGCUAGAGUCUUGUAGAGGGGGGUAGAAUUCCAGGUGUAGCGGUGAAAUGCGUAGAGAUCUGGAGGAAUACCGGUGGCGAAGGCGGCCCCCUGGACAAAGACUGACGCGCAUGCACGAAAGCGUGGGGAGCAAACAGGAUUAGAGACCCCUGUAGUCCCUGUCUCUUAUAC
This 301-nucleotide ribosomal RNA is filed under the name uncultured bacterium. RNAcentral describes it as "partial 16S ribosomal RNA". It matches the Rfam family "Bacterial small subunit ribosomal RNA", at positions 509 to 807 of the family's 1533-position model. The record is from RNAcentral.